GUACGCUGGCGGCGUGCCUCAAACAUGCAAGUCGAGCGAGGCUAUGAGUUACCGCAAGGUAAGGCAUAGCCUAGCGGCGAACGGGUGAGUAACACGUGGGUAACCUACCUGGAAGACAGGGAUAACGAUUCGAAAGGGUCGCUAAUACCUGAUAAUAUCCAUCUGCCGGAUGGCGGAGGGAAGAAAGGGGAAACCCGCUUUCAGAUGGGCCCGCGUCCCAUCAGCUAGUUGGUAAGGUAAAGGCUUACCAAGGCGACGACGGGUAGCCGGUCUGAGAGGAUGUACGGCCACACUGGGACUGAGAUACGGCCCAGACUCCUACGGGAGGCAGCAGUUGGGAAUCUUAGGCAAUGGACGAAAGUCUGACCUAGCGACGCCGCGUGAGGGAAGAAGGCCUUCGGGUUGUAAACCUCUGUCAUGGGGGAAGAAGGAAGUGACGGUACCCCAAGAGGAAGCCCCUGCUAACUACGUG
RNAcentral lists this ribosomal RNA (472 nucleotides) under uncultured bacterium. RNAcentral describes it as "bacterial SSU rRNA". It matches the Rfam family "Bacterial small subunit ribosomal RNA", at positions 31 to 507 of the family's 1533-position model. The record is from RNAcentral.